This 253-nucleotide ribosomal RNA is filed under the name uncultured bacterium. RNAcentral's name for it is "partial 16S ribosomal RNA". It matches the Rfam family "Bacterial small subunit ribosomal RNA", at positions 524 to 776 of the family's 1533-position model. The record is from RNAcentral.
GACGGAGGGUGCAAGCGUUGUUCGGAAUUACUGGGCGUAAAGCGCGGGCAGGUGGUCUUUUAAGUCCUUUGUGAAAUCCCGGGGCUCAACUCCGGAUGUGCAUAGGAUACUGGAAGACUGGAGACUGGUAGAGGCGAGCGGAAUUCCUGGUGUAGCGGUGGAAUGCGUAGAUAUCGAGAGGAACACCAGUGGCGAAGGCGAGUCCCUGGACAACACCUGACACUGAGGCACGAAAGCUAGGGGAGCAAACAGG